AGAUUGCCUACUUACAAGCAGAUGAGGAUGAUGAUGGGCUGCAGUUUGGCUCCACUGGUCUGGUGUAGAACAGGAUCUCUGGAGGCUGUUUGCAACUGUGGUCACAAAAUUCAAUGUUCUGGGAGAAUUGGAAGCAGCUCCAUUUUUUUUGGGGCCCCUUACACAGCUCAAGGUCUGGGCCCCAGGGCCUGACGGUGAGUAUGCCCAUAAGGCCCACUCAUAAGUUCCACCCACCCAUGAGUUCGCUCACAGGGAGUGGAGUGUGUAGGGGAUGUGUUAUGUGUUAUUGUAGAGGAUCUAAUAUGUGUGCUUAUAGUAUGUAGUGUAUAGGGUUACCAGUUUGUGCAGGUGAUGUAGUGUGU
RNAcentral lists this long non-coding RNA (362 nucleotides) under Pelobates cultripes (western spadefoot toad). The record is from RNAcentral. Lineage: Eukaryota; Metazoa; Chordata; Amphibia; Anura; Pelobatidae.